Molecule: ribosomal RNA, 161 nt
Filed under: Capnobotryella sp. MA 3612
Lineage: Eukaryota; Fungi; Ascomycota; Dothideomycetes; Mycosphaerellales; Teratosphaeriaceae
Description: 5.8S ribosomal RNA
Source: RNAcentral
CUUAUCGCAUUUCGCUGCGUUCUUCAUCGAUGCCAGAACCAAGAGAUCCGUUGUUGAAAGUUUUGAUUGAAUUCGCUUCAAAACAUCCGACGACAAUUGAUGCAGGGUUUGUGUGUUGGACCACCGGGAGGACCGGGUCACCCCCGCGUGUGAGGCGGGAA